RNAcentral lists this ribosomal RNA (700 nucleotides) under uncultured bacterium. RNAcentral describes it as "bacterial SSU rRNA". It matches the Rfam family "Bacterial small subunit ribosomal RNA", at positions 94 to 828 of the family's 1533-position model. The record is from RNAcentral.
AGUGGCGGACGGGUGAGUAACGCGUAAGAAUCUAACUUCAGGACGGGGACAACAGAGGGAAACGACUGCUAAUACCCGAUGUGCCGCGAGGUGAAACCUAAUUGGCCUGAAGAAGGGCUUGCGUCUGAUUAGCUAGUUGGUGGGGUAAGAGCCUACCAAGGCGACGAUCAGUAGCUGGUCUGAGAGGAUGAGCAGCCACACUGGGACUGAGACACGGCCCAGACUCCUACGGGAGGCAGCAGUGGGGAAUUUUCCGCAAUGGGCGAAAGCCUGACGGAGCAACGCCGCGUGAGGGAGGAAGGUCUUUGGAUUGUAAACCUCUUUUCUCAAGGAAGAAGUUCUGACGGUACUUGAGGAAUCAGCCUCGGCUAACUCCGUGCCAGCAGCCGCGGUAAUACGGGGGAGGCAAGCGUUAUCCGGAAUUAUUGGGCGUAAAGCGUCCGCAGGUGGUCAGCCAAGUCUGCCGUCAAAUCAGGUUGCUUAACGACCUAAAGGCGGUGGAAACUGGCAGACUAGAGAGCAGUAGGGGUAGCAGGAAUUCCCAGUGUAGCGGUGAAAUGCGUAGAGAUUGGGAAGAACAUCGGUGGCGAAAGCGUGCUACUGGGCUGUAUCUGACACUCAGGGACGAAAGCUAGGGGAGCGAAAGGGAUUAGAUACCCCUGUAGUCCUAGCCGUAAACGAUGGAUACUAGGCGUGGCUU